AUGAUUGGGAGAUUCUUUUGGGCAAACCAAGAAGAGGAAAAUAAAGUUCAUUGGGUCAUUUGGGAAAAGCUUACUCUUCCAAAGGACGAGGGGGGUCUUGGGUAUAGGGAUCUUCAUUCCUUUAACCUCGCAGUGCUAGCAAAACAGGGCUAGAAGCUGCUCAUGGAUCCAAAUUCCCUAUGUGCACAAGUUCUUAGGGCUAAAUAUUACCCGAACGGGGAUCUGUUAAAUGCUCAACCGAAGGAUGGUAUUUCUUACACAUGGAGAAGUAUCUUGAAGGGAAUUGAGAUACUGAAGGAAGGGGUGAUCAAAAGAGUAGGGGGUGGUACCCCCAUACAAAUUUGGAAUGACUGUUGGUUGCCUCGGAAAUUGUCUAGAAAACCAAUCUCAGUGAGGGGACAAUCAUCGCUCACAUUAGUAUAUGAAUUGAUCAACCCAUAUACUGAAAGCUAG
Molecule: ribosomal RNA, 453 nt
Filed under: Triticum aestivum (bread wheat)
Lineage: Eukaryota; Viridiplantae; Streptophyta; Magnoliopsida; Poales; Poaceae
Description: partial small subunit ribosomal RNA
Source: RNAcentral